This is a non-coding RNA of 343 nucleotides. It matches the Rfam family "transfer-messenger RNA". Rfam says of the family: Bacterial tmRNA, also known as 10Sa RNA or SsrA, is named for its dual tRNA and mRNA-like properties. Its role is to liberate the mRNA from a stalled ribosome. To accomplish this part of the tmRNA is used as a reading frame that ends in a translation stop signal. The record is from Rfam.
GGGCCUGUACAGGUUUCGACGGGGGUUUUGAAUUCGGAGAAGCAAGUCGUAAGGCAAUGCGUCAAAUUCCAAAUUAAAUAUAAACGCUGACGAUAAUAGUUUAGCAUUCGCUGCCUAAUUGCAGCUGUCGGCUCUGAUGCACCUGCACAUCAGAAUCCCGGCAUCGACUUUGCAGGAAACGACUUAUACAAAGCUUUGAGUAUAUGGGCGUAUUAUGAAGCUACUAAAGGUUUAAUUCUGUCUGUCGAAGUGAACCGGAGGGAAUGUCAAAUAACAGACUAAGCUUGUAGAAGGACGAUGGAUGGGCUUUCGGACAGGAGUUCGAUUCUCCUCAGGUCCACUA